GGGUAAGGAGGCGAACCGGGGGAACUGAAACAUCUAAGUACCCCGAGGAAAAGAAAUCAACCGAGAUUCCGAAAGUAGCGGCGAGCGAAAUUGGACUAGCCCUUAAGCUUUACACGCGUUAGACGAACGGUCUGGAAAGUCCGACGAUACAGGGUGAUAGUCCCGUAGUUGACGACGUGUGUUCAGUGAAAUCGAGUAGGGCGGGACACGUGAUAUCCUGUCUGAAUAUGGGGGGACCAUCCUCCAAGGCUAAAUACUACUGACUGACCGAUAGUGAACCAGUACCGUGAGGGAAAGGCGAAAAGAACCCCUGUGAGGGGAGUGAAAUAGAACCUGAAACCGUGUACGUACAAGCAGUAGGAGCAGGCUUUGUCCUGUGACUGCGUACCUUUUGUAUAAUGGGUCAGCGACUUAUAUUCAGUGGCAAGGUUAACCAUCUAGGGGAGCCGUAGGGAAACCGAGUCUUAACUGGGCGUUCAGUCUCUGGAUAUAGACCCGAAACCAGGUGAUCUAGCCAUGGGCAGGUUGAAGGUUGAGUAACAUCAACUGGAGGACCGAACCGACUAAUGUUGAAAAAUUAGCGGAUGACUUGUGGCUAGGGGUGAAAGGCCAAUCAAACCUGGAGAUAGCUGGUUCUCCCCGAAAGCUAUUUAGGUAGCGCCUCGGACGAAUACUACUGGGGGUAGAGCACUGUUAAGGCUAGGGGGUCAUCCCGACUUACCAACCCUUUGCAAACUCCGAAUACCAGUAAGUACUAUCCGGGAGACACACGGCGGGUGCUAACGUCCGUCGUGGAGAGGGAAACAACCCAGACCGCCAGCUAAGGUCCCAAAUUACUACUAAGUGGGAAACGAUGUGGGAAGGCUCAGACAGCCAGGAUGUUGGCUUAGAAGCAGCCAUCAUUUAAAGAAAGCGUAAUAGCUCACUGGUCGAGUCGGCCUGCGCGGAAGAUGUAACG
Molecule: ribosomal RNA, 958 nt
Filed under: Vibrio parahaemolyticus
Lineage: Bacteria; Pseudomonadati; Pseudomonadota; Gammaproteobacteria; Vibrionales; Vibrionaceae
Description: partial 23S ribosomal RNA
Rfam family: Bacterial large subunit ribosomal RNA
Source: RNAcentral